GAAGCAUGUCAAAUUAAGUCAUAAAAAUAUGAAACAUGUCAAAGUAUCAUAUUAAGGCAUAAACAUGUUAAACAUAUCAUAUUAAGUAAUAAACAUGUUAAACAUGUCUUAGUAUCAUAAUAAGUCGUAAAUAUGUUGUGAGGGAAAUUACUCAUUUUUAUUUUGUAAUAAGUUUGUUCUUGUUCUGUUUCAUUCUCAUGUGAGGAUAAUGCCUAUGAAGGCCACGUCAUGUCACUCAGAGAUCAGUACAGAAUGUUUAUCUUCUUACAGAGACACAAACAUGUUAUUCCGCUCAAGGUUCAUCUAAACAUCUUCCAAGAUCCUAAAACAAAGCCUGUUUGAACUGCCUCAAACUGCUUCUUAUCGGUACACAGAAUUAUGUCAUGCUCUGCGUUUCAUAUAUAUAGUAGUGGUUCAGUACAAGGGGUUCAGAGAGCUCUCAUUAUUCUAUCCUGCUUUAUUCUAUCCUGUGUUAACAAUCUUUCUGUAAUAAACCCUUUUACCUUAAGAGGACGAGUCUGCGAGUGUUGUCUAAUUUCCACGACAAUUUGGUGUCUCCUGGCUGGGCUGCACAAGUCUUUUCAGCUUUUCUGGACAACAAGCAAACCGGAGGACGCAUGUGGAAAAGUUUCACCCUGAAGCUCAUGUCAAUACAGGCGGUUUGCCCUUUAUUGUGCAGAGCGAAAGACCAACGCAACCUUACCACUGACCGGUAGGAAUCAUCAAAAAAAAAAAAAAAAAAAAACAGCCUUAAGGUAAAUUAGAAUUUUAUGAAGUCAUUGUGUAUUACUGUCUGUAUGGAAGGGAGUCAAUGAUAUAAGAAAUGCAUGUAUUACAUUGAGCAAUUUCUUAUAAGAAGUUUGGGGAACUUCGCCUCUGCGAUGGCAGAGAGGUUGGUGUUUCUUAGAUCACAGCUUCAAAACUAAGAUAUAUACCGACGGGUAUAUAUAUAGAGAGAGAAGAUAAUAACGGUAAAAAUAAACAGAAACAGUCUGUUUCGAGGAAUAAAUAAGUAAAGAGAGUACUUAUUAAGAAAAGAAAUAGGCACAGUAUUUUUACGGCAGAUUAUUAUCAAGUAGCAUGCCCCAUUGACUCAUUCCAUCAUAUCAGCGGUACAUGAUACAUUUGGCAAAUUUAACGCACAAGUAAAUUUUACUGAGAUAAAAAUAAAAAUAAUGAUAAUAAUAUAUAUUUUAUCUAAUAUAUUUAAUAAUAUUUUUUCUUAAAAAGAAGGGAAGAGAAAACUGUAAGUCCUACCAAAUUUCUGUAUGUGGACUCACCCUCACAGGUAAACUCUUUUACAUUCUUAAGGUUUGCUCUAUUGAACCUAUAGGUUAUAUGAUUCACAUUUUGAACCUUUUCUGUCUGUGCACUUCACUUGAUUCACUUGAUGUUCAUAGCAUGUUAAAUUGAUUAAAACUUUGAAAGUUAUAGAAGUGUAAAAGGAAAAAAUAAAUCUAUAAAUAAAAAUAGAAAAACAUGUAGCAAAGCACAUCCUGUGACACAUGCUAUGGUAUGUACAGGGUGUUCAUAUGUUGAUCCUGUUGUCCCCCUAUCUAUAUAGAGGAGAAAUAACUCACAAGCAUGACGGUCGGUGUUACUUUCACGAGAGCUUUACUCGAAUGAAUUGUCAAAAAUACAACAAUAUACACAUAACAAACAGUUGUACAAAACAGUAAACCUAAAGUGCAUUAAGACAUUAUUUAAAUAAAAGUACAAAAUAUGCGUCUUUCAUGUCCACAUGUUCAAAUUACGGCUAAACACAAGCUAGUGCUGUUCUGGUUUUCAGUACAAGGUGGAGGGAUGGAGGAACUGUUUUUACUGUGUUAACUUGCUGACAUAUUGCAAUGGCAAUAUGUCAGUAAGUUAACACAGAAAAAAACAGUUGAGUUAAACAUGCACAACAUACAUAGAGUAGAAAUAAAUCACAAGCAUGACGGUCGGUGUUACUUCCACGAGAACUUUACACGAAUGGAAAAUUAUCGCUUUUCUUCCAGGUAUGUGGGGGAGACUAAAGCAAUCGAUCCCAGAGUGCAGUAUUCAGACCAUCCUAAUAGAUGACUGAUCAGCGUUAUACUUACUUUAAUUAUCAAUGUAUUAACACAUUAAAAUGGAACAACAGCGAAAAAUAAACACUCUUUUAACUCUCUUUUUUAAACAUUUGACUAUUUAACUUGUUACACUCUCCCCCAAAUCCUCAACAAAUCCUCUUCUGAACAAAUCCUCUUCUGAAAGGGGAUACUUAGGACAAAGGUCACAGUUCAAAUAUAUCGUCAACAGUCCAUAUUCACAGUCCAUAUCUGUUGACUGGCUACUGUAUAAACAGUCCAUAAAGAGUCUUUGCACAUACUCUUGAUCAACAGUCCAUCGGUUUCAAUGAUCUGUGCAGUCUGCAAAUUCAAAGUUAAUUUCAACAGCCCGUGAAAACAGUCUAUGAAAACAGUCCAUUAGUAGUUCAUGGUUCUAUUUCAGUACGUCACUUCUGUAAACUCACAUUUGCUGGAGUCCAUACAUACAGGGUGGCUGAAGGUAGUAUGGCUGCAAGGGUGGCAACCAUGGGACCAGUCCUGGUUCAGGGUGGGAGCCAUGGGAGCCAUAGGCAAUGACACUCAGUUUGCCAUCUUGUUUUUGAUACAGUACUGCUCCCAAGCCUUGAUGUGAUGCUUCAGUGUGUACUAUUAAAGGCUGAGUGAAAUCAGGGAACCCUAACACUGGUGGAUGAAGCAAACAGUCAAUCAGCUGUUCAAGUGCCUGCUGGUGCUGGUCAGUCCACGUGAUUGGCUUGUUCGAGGUCACAACACGAGUCAUUUUCUUUGUUUUUGGUUUUCUUGUGUUUUCUUGUGUCUCUUGAAAACAUUUGUAUCUGCUUUCAAGAGAUCGUACAGGCAACUGGCCUUUCUAGAAAAGUCUUUAAUGUACUGCCUAUAGUAGGUGAGUAACCCAAGCAUUUUUCAUUUUUCAUUUUUCUGAGCUGGCCCACAUUCUGUGGUCUGAUGUCUUUCAAGGCCCUAACUGCUUCAAAAUCUGCUGGAUCAACUCUACUUCCCUCUGCAGAGAUCAUUCUCCCCAAAUAACGGACUUCAGGUUUAAAGAGGUCGCACUUACUUGGUUUGAGUUUGAUGCCAUACUCUCUGAGGCAUUUCAACACUUUUUGUACAUCCUCCACAUGAUUUUCAAAGCUUUUUCUGAGGACCAGUGUGUCGUCCAGAUAAGGGAUGCAGAUGUCAUCCCGGAGCCCUUCCAAACAUUCCUCCAUACAGCGUUGAAGAGCAGCAGGGGCAUUCAUGAGGCCGAAAGCGAUGCGUAUCCACUCAUAGAGUCUCCUUGGAGUAACAAAAGCUGUCAUUGGUCUGCUCUCUUCAGAAAUAAAUCCCUGGUGGUAAGCGUUUCCCUGGUCCAGAAGAGAGAAUCUGGAAUUACCACCCAGACUGUCCAUGAUGUCUUGGACCCGAGGGAUGGGCUGGCGGUCGGGAUAGGUCAACCAAAGGUAGCCAACCUUUUUCCUCACACAUGCAACAGGUGAAGAAUACGAUGAGUUUGACUUCCUAACCCAGCCCUGUGCUCUUAGGUUGUGGAGGUAACCUUUCAUCUCCAGAUACAGUGGCCUGGGUACCAUACCUGACAUGUAUGUGCGUUUGACUGGUUCUGGGUCUUUAACAGAGAUGGCCAUUUGCAAUCUUUCGAUACAGCCAAUAUCAUGGUCUGAUCUUGAGAAGGAAUGAUACUCUUCUCUGAGCAUUUGUCUGACUAUCUGUCUCUGUUCUUCUUUCAAGUAACUUACAUUUACAGGUGGAUCCCACUGUUCACUACCAUUACAUGGGACCUGGAUACUGGUGUGGUUCAUGGUGGCUGGUGUUGAAGCCUUUUUUCAAAAAUCUGGGCAGGUAACACAGUCAUUACGGUUUGUACUGUGCCAAUUACAGUGCGCCCUGGCAAAACAAUGUCGUGGUCAGUUGGGUUAGAAACAUCAACAGUGAUGACUGGAAAAACACCUUUCUUGACUUUGACUAGUGUGUCAUAGAACUCAAGAUCAUCUGGCCACUGGGGGUUCAGGUCUGGCUGAAACAACAUGGUCAUGUCAUCUUUAAAAGGCUGGGCAGCUACACAACACUCAAUGUGAAUGCUACUCUGUUUUGGUACAGUACCCAUCUAUUUCUUUGUUUUCACUGCAUACUCAUCUAAUGUUGUGUUAAAUUUUGCCCAUUAACUGGAUGUAAUUAACAAUACUUAGCAUAGAAACAGAUACUCACAUCUACCAGACUGUUGCGUGAAGAAAGCAAGACACCGAACCAGUGAGUGAGAAGAAGCAACGGUCCAAGUUUAUUGUUCCAAAUCACAUAGGAUCUACACAGUUGAGAUGUCCCAAGGGUGAUCUAAAAACCCAGAACCGAGGCUCUCCUAUUUAUACUGUUUCUUAGGUUCAGAUUCCCCACCCUCAGCAUUUUUCCCAAUACCAAUAUGUCCUAAGUUAGCUGAUACCAGAAAACCCUUACAUUCGCUAAACGGUAUUUUUGAGCAACCAUUAUCUCGCGGAAUUCGCUUACCUCAGUGCCCCUUAUCUUUUAAAUUCAGCUCAGCUCCACUCCCCU
Molecule: long non-coding RNA, 4589 nt
Organism: Ictalurus punctatus (channel catfish)
Lineage: Eukaryota; Metazoa; Chordata; Actinopteri; Siluriformes; Ictaluridae
Source: Ensembl